AUUGAACGCUGGCGGAAUGCUUUACACAUGCAAGUCGAACGGCAGCACGGACUUCGGUCUGGUGGCGAGUGGCGAACGGGUGAGUAAUACAUCGGAACAUGCCCAGUCGUGGGGGAUAACGUAGCGAAAGCUACGCUAAUACCGCAUACGAUCCAAGGAUGAAAGCGGGGGAUCGCAAGACCUCGCGCGAUUGGAGUGGCCGAUGGCAGAUUAGGUAGUUGGUAGGGUAAAGGCCUACCAAGCCGACGAUCUGUAGCUGGUCUGAGAGGAUGAUCAGCCACACUGGGACUGAGACACGGCCCAGACUCCUACGGGAGGCAGCAGUGGGGAAUUUUGGACAAUGGACGCAAGUCUGAUCCAGCCAUUCCGCGUGCAGGAUGAAGGCCCUCGGGUUGUAAACUGCUUUUGUACAGAACGAAAAGGCUCUGGUUAAUACCUGGGGCUCAUGACGGUACUGUAAGAAUAAGCACCGGCUAACUACGUGCCAGCAGCCGCCGUAA
Molecule: ribosomal RNA, 500 nt
Filed under: uncultured bacterium
Lineage: Bacteria
Description: partial 16S ribosomal RNA
Rfam family: Bacterial small subunit ribosomal RNA
Source: RNAcentral